RNAcentral lists this long non-coding RNA (478 nucleotides) under Manihot esculenta (cassava). RNAcentral's name for it is "long non-coding RNA (MESC_LNC008895)". Lineage: Eukaryota; Viridiplantae; Streptophyta; Magnoliopsida; Malpighiales; Euphorbiaceae. The record is from RNAcentral.
UAUUAUUUAGGUAACAUAUCGUAAAAAUAAAUUCCCAUAUAGGGAAAGAUAUUUUUCUUCUAAUUCCCAGUUUCAGCUUCCACCAUAGCUUUUGUCUUGCCACCACCAUACCCAUGCUUUCCAUGGUGUCUGUGUUUGUGCCCCUUUCUGUGUCCGUGCCCGUGCUUAUGUCCAUGUUUGUGCCCGUGUCCAUACCCUUUUCCUGCUGGGAAGCUGUUUACAUCUGUUUUUACACUGUCUUCUACAUAAAUUAAUAAAAAAAAAAAUAGUGUCAAUGCUUUUUUUGUGUAAAUAUUAAAAACAUGUUAAAUUUCUAAUGAUAUUUUCCAAGAAAAAGAAAGACAUAUGAACAUAAAAAUAUUUAAUCAAAUAAAUAUUAAGAAGAAAAAAAAAACUCACGAAUUUGAUGAACUGCCUCUGUAAAUUCAUGAGCAAAAACUUCAGAAGAGAUGAGAAGAACAGCAAAGGUAAGUCCAAC